GGAGGGCCCCGCUGCUGCCGCCGCCGCCGCCCCCCUCCUUGUCCGGCCUGGUGCCGUGGGGCUUGGCAGAGCGCCCCACACCGAGGCCUCGUACCUCUUCCAGAGAUGUAGCAAAUCGCAUGGAGUUUGUCUCGUCCCCAGUGGCCCAUCCAUGAGAGCUGGUAGUCUGUAGCAUGUCCCACAUGGCUGGGGAGGUGACUCCCUCCCCUCCUUAGUAUCACUAGCAUUAACUAAUUAAUCUCUUGGUUUUAAAUGAUUGGAAUUUAACCUGGUGCUGGGUAUCUCCAACUCGUAUCUAGUGCAGCUGAUUAACAAUAACUACUGUGUUCCUGGCAAUAUCGUGUUCUGAUGACUUCGCAAUGACCCAUCUUAGGUGGGGGGGAAAGAGACUAUUUUAUUUUCUAGUAGUUAGAUAAAUAGCUAUAUCCAUGUACUGUAGUUCUAUGUUGAUGUUCAUUGUAACUUUACUGAUCAUGCAUUGUUGAGGUGGUCUGAAUGUUCUGACAUAAGUUUUCCAUGAAAACGUUUUUAUUGUGUUUUUAAUUUAUUUAUUAAGAUGGAUUCUCAGAUAUUUAUAUUUUUAUUUUAUUUUUUUCUACCUUGAGGUCUUUUUUGACAUGUGGAAAGUGAAUUUGGAUGAAACUUAAGCAUUGUUUGCUUAUUAUUGUUCAGAGACAUUGUCAAUAAAAGCAUUUAAGUUGACUGCU
Molecule: long non-coding RNA, 707 nt
Organism: Phaethon lepturus (White-tailed tropicbird)
Lineage: Eukaryota; Metazoa; Chordata; Aves; Phaethontiformes; Phaethontidae
Exons: 2
Source: RefSeq, a predicted model, not a curated record